This 495-nucleotide ribosomal RNA is filed under the name Microserica crenatostriata. Its description in RNAcentral is "partial 16S large subunit ribosomal RNA". The stretch from base 369 to 495 matches the Rfam family "Bacterial large subunit ribosomal RNA", at positions 2473 to 2600 of the family's 2925-position model. The record is from RNAcentral. Lineage: Eukaryota; Metazoa; Arthropoda; Insecta; Coleoptera; Scarabaeidae.
UUUAAAGUCUAAUCUGCCCAAUGAGGGUUUAAAUGGCCGCGGUAUUUUGACCGUGCAAAGGUAGCAUAAUAAUUAGUUUUUUAAUUGAAAGCUGGAAUGAAUGAUUGGACGAGAAAAUUACUGUCUCAAUUUAAUUUAAUUAGAAUUUUAUUUUUAAGUAAAAAAGCUUAAAUUUUGUUAAUAGACGAGAAGACCCUAUAGAGUUUUAUAUUAAUUUAUUUAUAUAUUUUUUAGGAUUUUUUAUUUUUUAUUUAAAUUAUUAUUUUGUUGGGGUGAUGGAAAAAUUUAAUAAACUUUUUUUAUAUAUAUUCAUUAAUUUAUGUUUAAUUGAUCCAUUUUUUAUGAUUAUAAGAUUAAAUUACCUUAGGGAUAACAGCGUAAUUUUUUUUUAGAGUUCUUAUCGAUAAAAAAGAUUGCGACCUCGAUGUUGGAUUAAAAUAAAUUUUUGGUGUAGAAGCUAAUAUAUUAGGUCUGUUCGACCUUUAAAAUUUUACA